GGGGAAUAUUGGACAAUGGGCGAAAGCCUGAUCCAGCCACGCCGCGUGUGUGAUGAAGGUCUUCGGAUCGUAAAGCACUGUGGGGAGGGAAGAAUAGCCUGCGGGAACAAUACCCCGUGGGUCUGACGGUACCUCCUUAGCGAGCACCGGCUAACUCCGUGCCAGCAGCCGCGGUAAUACGGAGGGUGCAAACGUUGCUCGGAAUCAUUGGGCGUAAAGCGCGUGUAGGCGGCUCGUUAAGUUGAGUGUGAAAGCCCUGGGCUUAACCCAGGAAGUGCGCUCAAAACUGGCGAGCUAGAGUACGGGAGAGGGCAGUGGAAUUCCCGGUGUAGAGGUGAAAUUCGUAGAUAUCGGGAGGAACACCAGUGGCGAAGGCGGCUGCCUGGACCGAUACUGACGCUGAGACGCGAAAGCGUGGGUAGCAAAC
RNAcentral lists this ribosomal RNA (427 nucleotides) under uncultured bacterium. RNAcentral describes it as "bacterial SSU rRNA". It matches the Rfam family "Bacterial small subunit ribosomal RNA", at positions 356 to 773 of the family's 1533-position model. The record is from RNAcentral.